RNAcentral lists this long non-coding RNA (2107 nucleotides) under Canis lupus familiaris (dog). RNAcentral's name for it is "lncRNA (ENSCAFG00845016078.1)". Lineage: Eukaryota; Metazoa; Chordata; Mammalia; Carnivora; Canidae. The record is from RNAcentral.
UUGUUAAUAAAGGGGUUAUUGCCAACAACCCAGGAAGUUGUUAAAGAAUCACAUAAAAGGCAGUUUUAUCUGUUUUUCAUUAUUUCUCUUUUUUACUUUUUUAGUAGACAGGAUUUGGAUAGGUAGAUGAAGAAUGGGACAGCAUGUGGGGGAACAUGCAAAGAAGAUAAGGAAUGGGGAGUCGGAGUACAUCAGUCUACCCAGAGUCGAGGGUUUACUUAGCGGGGAGUGGUACUAUUUCUCCUGAGGAAACACCCAGAAAGGUCAAAAACAGAUUUCUGUCCCCAGUCCUCCCACACCUGUAUGCAUGUACACACACACAAACACCUACACCAAUAAUCUUCCCACAGUCAAUACCUCCUCCUUCCAAAUGUAAAUACCUCCAGGAGGUUUACACAUACUGCUCAUUUAUAAAGUGGUUACAUCUAAUGUGUGUUCUUUUAUUAGUAAACUAGGUUUCCUCCCUUCUUCCCCUUACAUCACAUACUUUUAAAACCAAGAAUAAGGCUGGGAUAGGAAAGCUUAGAUGAGAAGGAAAUUGCAGUUGCAAGUGACAGGCAGAGGAAGUAAGUAAGGAGGAAGACCCUGGUGUGAGGAACAAGGAUACAGGAGGUCAGAGAUGUGUGGUCCAGAUUUCCCUGAACUUCAGUCCAGAAGGAAAAGAGCUAGAAGACCCAGAGAAGUUUCAUGAAGAGAUGGAGACCUCCUAAAGCAGAAGAAACAAUUGCCUGGCUUUUCAGGGAACAAACCAAGAAGACAUAAAGACUCACCUGGGAAAUAUGACGUCCACAAAGAUGCUCUCUUGGAAGUGACAUAAAUGUGAUAGUGUGCUGUUAUUGGGCAAACAGACUGACCAAUUAGCACUUGCACUCCUUCCCUGGCUCUCAAGUGUAUCAGAGAAAUCAAGAAACUCCUCUUGAUUUUGUCCUCUGCUGGGCCCAGAGUAGGGUCAGAAGAGAUAGUUAUUCAGAGGACUGGAAGUCUUGCCACAGGACAGCCAUAGUUAAUGAGGAUACCUAUAUCCUGUAUCUCCUACAUACAUCCAAGAGACAUAGGACUCUAGGACUUAUCCAAGAUGUGGACUACACAGAUGACAUGGCAGAGAUUCAAGGGACUUGUAAUGUCAGCAAGAGCCAAGGUAAGGCCACAUCAGCCAAUGAAGACCACUGGGUCCUGAUCCAGCUGAGAGAAUAGGUCACAAAUUCACCGGCUACAUAUUUUUUCAGCAGACGACAACAGGAUGUUUAGCAUCCACCCCAAUGCCUGAGUGGACAGUGCGAGAAAUAUAGAGAGUAGGGAUACCUUGUUUGCUUUAACUAGUCCUGUAGCCAACUAUAAUUGAUGUUAUGUGAGAAAAGACCUACUCUUGCUGAUCGAGGGAAUUCACAUAUGUUAGUGUGAUCUGUGUGAGAGUGUGUCAGUAUAGACUUUCAGAUGUCUGACUUUCUGACAAAUAAAUGGAUCGCCUAAAAAGAAACUUGCUCCUAGUUCCCAAGUCAGAGAUUCUCAGUUAAUGACACAUGUGAGGUUCAGAGACACCCCUAACCGCUGGUCUAUUACCAAACAAAGACAGAAUCCACUCAAGAGGCUAUGUAUCCAGACCCAAUUAGGGUCUGUUAAGUUCACUGUAGUGCCACAUUUUGUUAUGUCAGUCACUUAAUAGUCUGACCCAGCGUUUUGCCCAACUUGCCCCAACUAGCCCUGGGAACUUGUAUCACCUUUUCAAAGAUAGCAAGAUAUUGCAUAAAUAAAAAAGUAUUUAAGGAAAGGAAGCAUGAACUGAGAGUGCUAUAGGUAAAUUAAAGAUCAAGGCCAUCAUUUCUGUAGGCUAGAAAAAAAUCAUAGUGUUGGCAAGUCUAUUCUCCUCGCCUUCAAGUAGGACCCAGAUCAUUAUCCUCCCAUCAAACAAAAGCCAAAGCAAACAAACAAACAAAAACAUUCUUUUAAGCAACAGCCCCCAAAAUGCAAAUUUUACCAAAGAUUUAAUACAUAAUAUUCAGAAGUUAAUAUUAUAUACCACACAUCAAAAAAGCAUAAUGGAAAUCCCCACUAAACAUUUCUAUUUUCCUAUCAAUCCCUUGUCAGAUGCCAAGUUCAGGUGUUUUCC